CAAAGUGUAGCUUAAACUAAAGCAUCUGGCCUACACCCAGAAGAUCUCACCACAAUUGAUCACUUUGA
Molecule: transfer RNA, 68 nt
Filed under: Pithecia vanzolinii (Vanzolini's bald-faced saki)
Lineage: Eukaryota; Metazoa; Chordata; Mammalia; Primates; Pitheciidae
Description: tRNA-Val
Rfam family: tRNA
About the family: Transfer RNA (tRNA) molecules are approximately 80 nucleotides in length.
Source: RNAcentral